Molecule: non-coding RNA, 829 nt
Organism: Cinara cedri
Lineage: Eukaryota; Metazoa; Arthropoda; Insecta; Hemiptera; Aphididae
Source: the annotation of a GenBank genome assembly
UUUUCUGGAGGGGGUGUAGGGGAACAAAAAGAGGACGUGUCUCCCCCCCGGCUUUUUCGUGACGGCUGUACGUUUACGCGCAAAAUAUUGUCAUAUCGAUAUUAAAUACAUUGAACACAAUGAAAAACCGAUGAUCGUAUACAUAUAAUUUUGUGGCGCAGGAUUAUUUUCACCGGCGGUUUCCCGUUGGUGGUCGACGACAUGGCGGAAAAAUCGAAAUGGUACCCGUGUAGGCGAAUCGUUUAGUAGUCUCAAUUACAAUCGACGGGUAGAAUCCGUCGGUGUGUGCGGUCAGAUAAUUCCGUCCGUUUUCCGCGCGUAUUAUUUUUAUGUUUAAUCCGUUACCUUUUCCGUCAGUUGACAAAUUUAUCGUCAUUUACGCGAUGACCAUAACCUCAUGCAAAAUGUACAACUAUCGAAUGCCUACACUGACGGGGCAGAGACCAACUGGAUUGUGUAGUGUACGUAGACGGAACAUCCAAAGUGUCGUUGGCCGACUUUCAAAAAAUAAACGUAUUCGCAGUCUUGUUUUAAGAUCCAAUCAAACUAAUCUACAAACUUUAAUGUACCCGGCACAUUUUGUUAAUUAAAUAAUAAAGCGCGAUAUUUGUGUUGUAUAUUUUUCAGUUCAUUAGAAAUUUAACUACCUACGUGCUCUUGGUUAUUUUAUAAAUAAUUAUACGACCGUAAUAAAUACUAUUGUAGGAAAUAUAGGAACACAGCCGUACAAUGUUGUGCUACGUAAACUUACGUAUUAUACCAGUCAAUAAGUCAACAGGAAGGUACAACGUGUCGCAUUGAGAAAAUACAGUGCCCUCACCCUGGAUUU